RNAcentral lists this ribosomal RNA (444 nucleotides) under uncultured bacterium. Its description in RNAcentral is "partial 16S ribosomal RNA". It matches the Rfam family "Bacterial small subunit ribosomal RNA", at positions 338 to 795 of the family's 1533-position model. The record is from RNAcentral.
CCUACGGGUGGCAGCAGUGGGGAAUAUUGGGCAAUGGAGGAAACUCUGACCCAGCAAUGCCGCGUGAAUGAAGAAGGUCUUCUGAUUGUAAAGUUCUUUAGUCAGGGGAGAAUAAUAUGACGGUUCCUCAGUCUUAAGCUCCUGCUAAAUACGUGCCAGCAGCCGCUGUAAUACGUAGGGAGCGGGCAUUGUUCGGAAUGACUGGGCGUAAAGGGUGCGUAGGCGGUUAUACAAGUUAGAAGUGCAAUACCCAGGGCUUAACUCGGGUGCUGCUUCUAAAACUGUAAGACUUGAGUGCAGUAGAGGUUAGUGGAAUUCCUAGUGUAGCGGUGGAAUGCGUAGAUAUUAGGAGGAACACCAGAGGCGAAGGCGGCUAACUGGACUGCAACUGACGCUGAUGCACGAAAGUGUGGGGAGCAAACAGGAUUAGAUACCCUUGUAGUC